GUCCUUUAUCUGCAGCACCUUACCUGCCUGCUGUGUUUGACUCUCAGGGGACAGUUCCUCUCCUUUGGAAUCUCUUUGGCCUUCAGCGAUCUUAACAGCCACAGCACGACAGAUUGCUCCAAUCUUCCUCUCCAGGGAGCGCACGCCCGCCUCACGUGUGUACCUGUCCAGUGUACAUUUAAAAAGCGAGGUGGGUGAAGAAGCUGGAUUCAAACCGGGAACCCUGAAGUUCCAAGCUGACCAAUCUACCAUCUGAG
Entelurus aequoreus (snake pipefish) is the source of this 257-nucleotide long non-coding RNA. RefSeq lists it as uncharacterized. The transcript has 3 exons. The record is from RefSeq and is a predicted model, not a curated record. NCBI's taxonomy places the organism in Eukaryota, Metazoa, Chordata, Actinopteri, Syngnathiformes, Syngnathidae.